CAGUAGCCGCGGGAAUACGUAGGUGGCAAGCGUUGUCCGGAAUUAUUGAGCGUAAAGGGCUCGCAGGCGGUUUCUUAAGUCUGAUGUGAAAGCCCCCGGCUCAACCGGGGAGGGUCAUUGGAAACUGGGAAACUUGAGUGCAGAAGAGGAGAGUGGAAUUCCACGUGUAGCGGUGAAAUGCGUAGAGAUGUGGAGGAACACCAGUGGCGAAGGCGACUCUCUGGUCUGUAACUGACGCUGAGGAGCGAAAGCGUGGGGAGCGAACAGGAUUAGAUACCCCUGUAGUCCCUGUCUCUUAUAC
RNAcentral lists this ribosomal RNA (301 nucleotides) under uncultured bacterium. Its description in RNAcentral is "partial 16S ribosomal RNA". It matches the Rfam family "Bacterial small subunit ribosomal RNA", at positions 509 to 807 of the family's 1533-position model. The record is from RNAcentral.